Non-coding RNA from Taeniopygia guttata (zebra finch), 223 nucleotides. The record is from RefSeq and is a predicted model, not a curated record. NCBI's taxonomy places the organism in Eukaryota, Metazoa, Chordata, Aves, Passeriformes, Estrildidae.
GUCCUGGGUCCAACCAGGCCUGCUGAGUAGAAACCAUUUGUCCAGGGAAUCAACCAGGUGUCCUGGUCACAAAUUGUCCUGGGCACCAACCAGGUGUCCUGGGCACAAACCAUUUAUCCUGGGUACAAAACCCAGUGUCCUGGGCACAAAUCAUUUAUCCUGGGUACAAAAUCCAGUGUCCAUUUGUCCAGGGGACCAACCAGGUGUCCUGGGUGCAAAUUGU